Myotis lucifugus (little brown bat) is the source of this 64-nucleotide non-coding RNA. The record is from Rfam. Lineage: Eukaryota; Metazoa; Chordata; Mammalia; Chiroptera; Vespertilionidae.
GGUUUGUUCAGUGGUUAGAACAUUGGCCUGCAGACCAAAGGGUCUCAGGUUCAAUUCCUGGCCA